RNAcentral lists this ribosomal RNA (497 nucleotides) under uncultured bacterium. Its description in RNAcentral is "partial 16S ribosomal RNA". It matches the Rfam family "Bacterial small subunit ribosomal RNA", at positions 29 to 523 of the family's 1533-position model. The record is from RNAcentral.
AUUGAACGCUGGCGGCAGGCCUAACACAUGCAAGUCGAGCGAGGAAGUCCUUCGGGAUGAGUAAAGCGGCGGACGGGGGAGUAACGCUGAGGAAUCUACAUAGUAGUGGGGGAUACCGUUUCGAAAGGAACGCUAAGACCGCAUACGUUCUGAGGAAGGAAGCAGGGGACCGCAAGACCGUGCGCUAUUAGAUGGGACUGCGUCGGAUUAGCGAGUUGGUGGGGUAAAGACCUACCAAGGCGUCGAUCGGUAACUGGUCUGAGAGGAUGAGCAGUCACACUGGAACUGAGACACGGCCCAGACUCCUACGGGAGGCAGCAGUGGGGAAUAUUGGACAAUGGGGGCAACCCUGAUCCAGCCAUGCCGCGUGUGUGAAGAAGGCCUUCGGGUUGUAAAGCGCUUUAAGCGGGGAGGAAGGCUCUAUGGCUAAUAUCCAUGGGGAUUGACGUUACCCGAAGAAUAAGCACCGGCAAACUUCGUGCCAGCAGCCGCCGUAA